AUUGAACGCUGGCGGCAUGCCUUACACAUGCAAGUCGAACGGCAGCACGGGAGCAAUCCUGGUGGCGAGUGGCGAACGGGUGAGUAAUAUAUCGGAACGUGCCCAGUCGUGGGGGAUAACGUAGCGAAAGCUACGCUAAUACCGCAUACGAUCUAUGGAUGAAAGCGGGGGAUCGCAAGACCUCGCGCGAUUGGAGCGGCCGAUAUCAGAUUAGGUAGUUGGUGAGGUAAAGGCGUCACCAAGCCGACGAUCUGUAGCUGGUCUGAGAGGACGACCAGCCACACUGGGACUGAGACACGGCCCAGACUCCUACGGGAGGCAGCAGUGGGGAAUUUUGGACAAUAGGGCGCAAGCCUGAUCCAGCAAUGCCGCGUGCAGGAUGAAGGCCUUCGGGUU
Molecule: ribosomal RNA, 396 nt
Filed under: uncultured bacterium
Lineage: Bacteria
Description: bacterial SSU rRNA
Rfam family: Bacterial small subunit ribosomal RNA
Source: RNAcentral